UACGUAGGGAGCAAGCGUUGUCCGGAAUCAUUGGGCGUAAAGCGCGCGUAGGCGGCCUCAUAAGUCCGUUGUGAAAGUCAAAGGCUCAACCUUUGAAAGCCGAUGGAUACUGUGAGGCUAGAGUCCGGAAGAGGCGAGUGGAAUUCCUGGUGUAGCGGUGGAAUGCGCAGAUAUCAGGAGGAACACCGGUGGCGAAGGCGGCCCUCUGGACGGAUACUGACGCUGAGACGCGAAAGCGUGGGGAGCAAACAGG
Molecule: ribosomal RNA, 253 nt
Filed under: uncultured bacterium
Lineage: Bacteria
Description: partial 16S ribosomal RNA
Rfam family: Bacterial small subunit ribosomal RNA
Source: RNAcentral